UACGGACGGUGCAAGCGUUAUCCGGAUUCACUGGGUUUAAAGGGAGCGCAGGCGGAUUGGUAAGUCAGUGGUGAAAGGCUUAAGCUUAACUUGGGAACUGCCAUUGAUACUAUCAGUCUUGAAUGUUGUUGAGGUUUGCGGAAUGGGUCAUGUAGCGGUGAAAUGCAUAGAUAUGGCCCGGAACACCUAUUGCGAAGGCAGCAGGCUAAACAAAUAUUGACGCUGAGGCUCGAAAGCGUGGGGAUCAAACAGG
RNAcentral lists this ribosomal RNA (253 nucleotides) under uncultured bacterium. RNAcentral describes it as "partial 16S ribosomal RNA". It matches the Rfam family "Bacterial small subunit ribosomal RNA", at positions 524 to 776 of the family's 1533-position model. The record is from RNAcentral.